This 2410-nucleotide long non-coding RNA is filed under the name Homo sapiens (human). RNAcentral describes it as "non-protein coding lnc-ZZEF1-2:1". Lineage: Eukaryota; Metazoa; Chordata; Mammalia; Primates; Hominidae. The record is from RNAcentral.
CUUGAGACACAGUUUUGCUCUUGUUGCCCAGGGUGGAGUGCAAUGGGGCAAUCUCGGCUCACCACAACCUCUGCCACCUGGAUUCAAGCAAUUCUCCUGCCUCAGCCUCCAGAAUAGCUGGGAUUGCAGGGAUGCACCACCACGCCCAGCUAAAUGCUUAUUAGCAUAAUAUCUGAGACAUUAGGUACUAUUUGAUAGUUAUUUUUACUUUAUUAUUUUCAGACCAUGAGGAUGUGCUUGUCUUCAAGAUCACAUUUAUUUUACGGUCACUUUCUGCUAGCAGCUUUAAGGCUAUUAUCCCUUUUAAUUUUCACAGUGGACCUGGAAGCAGCAUGUAUCGUUAGGAUUGAAGAAGCCUUUCCCACAUCAAUCAAUUCUCUAUUUUGGAGUCAAGGACCUUGAGGUUCUGAGAGGUUAAGUGGCUUAUAAAUAAUGAGGUGUCCACAUUAAGACUCCAGCACAAGGCUAUCUAGUUGCACACUGUCUCAACAGCACUGGGCAAGGCAGUAAACAGUGAGCUUGGUAUCUGAGCCAGACAAGUGUAUCUUGGUACAGGACAGAGGGCAGUGCCAUCCUUUCCACUGCUGACUCCACUAUGUGUCUGCACACAGCCAACUCUCCAGCCAGAGUGACAGCGCGGCCCCGUGCGCACCGGCCAGAGUGACGGCAUGGCCUCGUGCCCACCGGCCAGAGUGAUGGCAUGGCCCCAUGCCCACCAGAGGCUGCUGCUUGUUUUGGGCUCAGCAUCUCAGCAUCUCGUGCCCUCUCACCUUCUCCAUGCCUCUGCUCUUGCCAUCGUGUGUCUCUGUCUCUUUCUUUUCCUCCUGCAUCAUUAGCUUUGCCCAUUAUUCAUUUCUAAUAGCAUAGAGACAUGCUCUACUAUCUCCUAACUUAAAAUCUUCUGCUGGGCACGGUGGCUCACGCCUGUAAUCCCAAAACUUUGGGAGGCUGAGGUGGGCAGAUCGCCUGAGGUCAGGAGUUGGAGACCAGCCUGGCCAACAUGGCGAAACCCUGUCCCUACUAAAAAUACAAAAAUUAGCUGGGCGAGGUGGCCAGUGCCUGUAAUCCCAGCUACUCGGGAGGCUGAGGCAGGAGAAUCGCUUGAACCUGGGAGGCAGAGGUUGCAGUGAGUGGCGAUUGCGCUGCUGCACUCCAGCCUGGGGCACAGAGUGAGAUUUUGUCUCGGAAAACAAAAAACAAACAAAAAAAAACCUCCCUUGGGCCCACAUUGUCUACCCGCUGUUGUUCCUUCUCUGAAUACCCUUCAUAGCAAAACUAGGUCAAACCCAAGCUGUAGAGAAACGGGAGGCCUCACUUGAAAGCACUGGAGACCAGCACUGCAGAAGGGCCUGGAACACUGGCUUCCGCUGUGUGGGCUUUAUCCUGUGGGGACAGAAGAGCCAUUGGAGGGUUUUGGGCAGAGAAGUAGUGUGAUUCUUCUGGAGCUGAGAAAACUGCCUGGGAUGGCUGGCAUGGUGGGUGUGCCGUGGAGUCCAGGCUGGAGCCAAGUGGGAGUCAUCUUGACAAGCAAUGACCUGUCCUGUCCUGUCCUCUCACACUGCAUUUGGAUCCAAAGGAACAGGUUUCACAGGAAUUGCAGAAUCAGUCUGUGACACGCAUGCUUGAGGCUCCCAGAAGCGAGGGCAAGAGAGCUGUUAAAACCCCUGUGGUGCAAGAAUGACGUAAUGGAAUUUGGGAACUUGGAGGGGAAGCUUGGGAGGGCGGUGGGGGAUAAAAGGGUGAUACUGGGUACAGUGUACACUGCUCAGGUGACGGGUGCACUAACAUUAAGAAAUCACCACCGAAGAACUUAUCCGUGGAACCAGAAACCACCUGUACCCCAAAGACACUGAAAUACGAAUUUAAAAAAAACAGUUGCGGCGAACCCAUGGAAAAACAGAGGAAACUGGCCAGGAGGAGGAGCCUGUGUGUGGGAAUAAAUUCCAUUGUGAUUUUUGAAUUUCUACACAUUUAAGGUAGGGAUGUCUAACAGGCAGUGGGAAAAUUAGAUGCAAGAAUGGGGCUGGAGACCUGGGUUUGAGAGUCUCUUCCUUGCAGAUAAUGGCAGAAGCCGUGGAGUAGAUCAGCACACCCAAGGAGAAUGCGUAGGAAGAAGGUCUGGAACAGAAGACAGCCCCGAGGAGGAGGGGUAGAGGAGCGGGAGGAGCAGGGGAGGAGGAGGAAGAGGACAUACUUGGGCGGGCUCACACUGCAAUUACAGUUCCCCUGUAUGGGGAGGAUUUGGGAUGGGAAGCGCGCACUCUGGGUCAAGGCGUAAAAGUACUCAAUCCUUAUCUGCCACAGUGGAAAGUCCCACAGAUAAUGUUCAAAGCUGGAAAAUCAAGAGGCAGCAAUAAAAACAUGUUGGUUAGAAAUAUGGAGAGUUACAAAACCCAGCUGGAAGAGUUAA